ACUAGCUAUGUGAACUUGGGCAAGUGACCUAAUCCUCUGCGUUUCAUCUCUAAAUUGGGGAGAAUAGAAGCAUCUAUUUCAUGUAGUAGCCAGGAUUAGAAGAGGGAGGAAUAACUGGGCACUGGAUAGAAUGUGAUGAAUGAAUAUUCUUAAUGAGAAGUGGAAAUAAUUUGUGGUUGAGAGCUAUGCCUCAGAUCAGAGUGACAGGAUACAUGGCUAGGCUAUAUUUUCCAGCAGAUUAAGAGCUGUAGCCCAAGACUCUGAAAUACGAAGAAAAAAGGAGAAGAUGACAGCAUAUCUUUUUAAAGAAAUAUUUUCCAGCCAAAUGGUGCAGCAGAGGACUUCCAGGAAUUUGUUCUUGUUCUCUAUCAAAGGUGAAGAGUUCAUAGCCUUCAAGGAAACAAGAAACCAUGGGAUGGAGUGAAGGAAGGUGGCCUGGAACCAGCCGCUGAGCCUCUCUGAGCCCCAGUUUCCUCAUCUCUAAAAUGGGGCUGAUCUCCUCUCCCUCAGAUUGUUGUUGCAGGAAUUGAAUGAGGUUCUUGGAGCCCCACU
Molecule: long non-coding RNA, 552 nt
Filed under: Pongo abelii (Sumatran orangutan)
Lineage: Eukaryota; Metazoa; Chordata; Mammalia; Primates; Hominidae
Description: lincRNA
Source: RNAcentral